AGUGAACGCUGGCGGCGUGCUUAACACAUGCAAGUCGAACGAGAACGGGUUAUAGCUUGCUAUAAUUGUCAGCUAAGUGGCGCACGGGUGAGUAAUGUACAGGUAAUAUGCUUCUUACUAAGGGAUAACAACUGGAAACGUUUGCUAAUACCUUAUACUCCUUAUUAACAGAAGUUAAUAAGGGAAAGAUUUAUUGGUAAGAGAUUAGCCUGUAUUGUAUCAGUUAGUUGGUGGGGUAAUGGCUUACCAAGACUAUGACACAUAACUGGUUUGAGAGGAUGAUCAGUCACACUGGAACUGAGACACGGUCCAGACUCCUACGGGAGGCAGCAGUGGGGAAUAUUGCACAAUGGACGAAAGUCUGAUGCAGCAACGCCGCGUGGAGGAUGACACAUUUCGGUGCGUAAACUCCUUUUAUAUGAGAAGAUAAUGACGGUAUUAUAUGAAUAAGCACCGGCUAACUCCGUGCCAGCCACCGCAGUAA
Molecule: ribosomal RNA, 484 nt
Filed under: uncultured bacterium
Lineage: Bacteria
Description: partial 16S ribosomal RNA
Rfam family: Bacterial small subunit ribosomal RNA
Source: RNAcentral